AGCCAUCCAUUCAGAAACACUACGAGAUACUGCACCAGUGCUGGAGGGUAUUAAGGGGGAGGAGAUCACUAAGGAAGAGAUUGACAUGCUGAGUGAUGCCUGCACCAAACUGAAGGGGCAGAAGAAUCUCCUCACCAAAGAGAAAGAGGAGCUGGAGGACCUGAAGGAUGAUGUGCAGGAGUACAGUGAGGACCUGGAGGAGAUCAAGCGAGAGCUGUCCAAAACAGGACAGGAGAAAGUGGUGGAGGAGUCUAAAGCAAGCCG
Sinocyclocheilus grahami is the source of this 264-nucleotide long non-coding RNA. RefSeq lists it as uncharacterized. The record is from RefSeq and is a predicted model, not a curated record. The transcript is spliced from 3 exons. Lineage: Eukaryota; Metazoa; Chordata; Actinopteri; Cypriniformes; Cyprinidae.